This is a long non-coding RNA of Myotis lucifugus (little brown bat), 221 nucleotides long. RefSeq lists it as uncharacterized. The record is from RefSeq and is a predicted model, not a curated record. NCBI's taxonomy places the organism in Eukaryota, Metazoa, Chordata, Mammalia, Chiroptera, Vespertilionidae. The transcript is spliced from 2 exons.
UCACAGGAGGAGGACGGGCCGUGACCAGCAGAGAAGGUGAAGGAGCUGAGACAUGGAGGACAACCCAGCACCAACUGGCAGGUUAACCCAGAAGAGCAGAGGAAACAGCGCCACUGGGCUGCACCUGGCAGGGCUGGGUCAGCGGGACGAGGGCAGGACGGUGAUGCCAGGAGAGGCCCCGUCAGAGCUCUGAGCCCCUGCACUGCUCCCGGGGGGACCCU